This 468-nucleotide ribosomal RNA is filed under the name uncultured bacterium. Its description in RNAcentral is "partial 16S ribosomal RNA". It matches the Rfam family "Bacterial small subunit ribosomal RNA", at positions 28 to 523 of the family's 1533-position model. The record is from RNAcentral.
GAUGAACGCUGGCGGCGUGCCUAACACAUGCAAGUCGAGCGAUUCUCUUCGGAGAAGAGCGGCGGACGGGUGAGUAACGCGUGGGUAACCUGCCCUGUACACACGGAUAACAUACCGAAAGGUAUGCUAAUACGGGAUAAUAUGUCUUGAUCGCAUGGUCGAAAUAUCAAAGCUCCGGCGGUACAGGAUGGACCCGCGUCUGAUUAGCUAGUUGGUAAGGUAACGGCUUACCAAGGCGACGAUCAGUAGCCGACCUGAGAGGGUGAUCGGCCACAUUGGAACUGAGACACGGUCCAAACUCCUACGGGAGGCAGCAGUGGGGAAUAUUGCACAAUGGGCGAAAGCCUGAUGCAGCAACGCCGCGUGAGCGAUGAAGGCCUUCGGGUCGUAAAGCUCUGUCCUCAAGGAAGAUAAUGACGGUACUUGAGGAGGAAGCCCCGGCUAACUACGUGCCAGCCGCCGCCGUAA